UUCCAGUGAAAUGGACCAUUUUUAUGCGUACAUAGUUUAUUGACCCGGCUUAUGUAAAUACCUUCAUGGAAAUACCAUCCAUAUAAAAGGAUAAGAACUUGGCAAUUAUUUUCAGGCAUAGUUUGCACUUACAUACUCGACGAGAAGCCUGGUGAGCAAUAUUUUGGUUAAAGUUGAAAAUAAAAUAUCCGCGGUCCCUCGUGCAGGGGAGCUUACCAUGAAGCCACUCAGGUCAGAUGUGGCGGCAGGUUCGGGAGAUUGACCAACAAGAAAAAGAGAUAUUGCUGUAGGAAUCCAUAAAUGAAUAAUUUUGCAGGCAAGUCUAUCAAACUUAUGAUACAAACGCCGUAUCACCAGAAAGAAAUCAACUUUUUUUUUACUUACCAGCAAUUAUCAACAAUUAAGUCAAAAAAUAAUUUGUGAAACCUUAAAAUUUCGAUUUAUCACAAAUAUAUUAUCACUAGCGUAUAAGCCCGUCUCCCGCCGGGCUUAUUUGAUUUUCAUGAAAAUUAAGUACGAUUGUUCAAAAUUAAUUCCACCGAAUUAUUUUUUUAUUGUAUUUAUAUUAUUAGCUGGAAAUGUGCAUGUGUUAGCAAGGGAAAUGAAACUUUCUCCACUUUCACUUCCGUCACGGAAAAUUACUUUCACUUCCGUUGCAGACAAACAUUUCCAGCUUAUAAUAUAGAUA
Long non-coding RNA from Folsomia candida, 688 nucleotides. RefSeq lists it as uncharacterized. The record is from RefSeq and is a predicted model, not a curated record. Lineage: Eukaryota; Metazoa; Arthropoda; Collembola; Entomobryomorpha; Isotomidae. The transcript has 2 exons.